This 2611-nucleotide long non-coding RNA is filed under the name Salmo salar (Atlantic salmon). RNAcentral's name for it is "lncRNA (ENSSSAG00000102552.1)". The record is from RNAcentral. Lineage: Eukaryota; Metazoa; Chordata; Actinopteri; Salmoniformes; Salmonidae.
AUGGUGACCUCACCUAGGCCCCAUACCCAUCACAACAUUCUCUUCCAUACCAAAGACAUGGUGACCUCACCUAGGCCCCAUACCCAUCACAACAUUCUCUUCCAUACCAAAGACAUGGUGACGUCACCUAGGCCCCAUACCCAUCACAACAUUCUCUUCCAUACCAAAGACAUGGUGACCUCACCUAGGCCCCAUACCCAUCACAACAUUCUCUUCCAUACCAAAGACAUGGUGACCUCACCUAGGCCCCAUACCCAUCACAACAUUCUCUUCCAUACCAAAGACAUGGUGUGGAGAACUCAAGUUAAACGCACAGUUAAAAACAGGACAUGGAAGGGAAACCUUGCCACACUAUCUACAGACAUGACACUGGUCUGUGGCCCUGCAGAAAGCUGGCAGGACAGGUGUAUUGAAGGACUGACUGGCUGUUUCUCAUAUUACCAUGGCGGAAAUUGUGCCAUUCUCAUCAAGAACUUGCCUCUUAAACCCAUUUCUGCACACUUCUCUGCAAAUGUUAUUAGGGACAGGAGCUAAAAUACUGUAUGACAAUCACAACCAUGAGGAAAACAACGUUUGCAUUUAAGUGUUUCAGGGGUGAUAUCAAUUGGUAUUGUUUGGGUUGUUUGUAUUUUUCUUUUUUGUUUAUUAUUUUGAUAAAAUGUACGAUCUUAAUAUUGAACAUUGUUUUUUCACUUCUCGACUUAAAUGUAUGCCAAAGCUUCGGAGAAGUUAUCUUCAUGUUUAUUUAUUAGACUGACUAAAAGGUACUAGGGUUGAACGAAGUACAAUCACUACAUCAGAAGGCCACGGUGGAAACAGUAUAGGCCUAUCUGGAUGUUCCCAACACACUUUGACAGCAUUAGUCUUCUGCCUAAUGUUUGAAACUACAUUAUGAUAAAAACAGUACAGCUGCACAGGUCCAAUCUAUCCACAAUGAAAUUGAAUGUAUCUUAAUUAAAGGAAAUUGUUUGGAUUUUACCCGAUUCUUCCUGAAUUGUAGCAGUUGUUUCAAAGACAUUUCAAAAACUCAUGUGUUAGAAGGACUAUAAAAAAAAUAAAAAAUAAACCUUCUGCGUGAAAUAAUAUUCUACACACUUUUAAAAGUCACACGCGUCGUACUAAAUUAACCCAGUGUUGUAUAAAUAUAUGCAAUCAUUUGAUACAUUCUAAGCAAGCGCUUAGGCCUACAUGAAAGAUUUUUGAUGGUCAUAAAAUCGUUCAAAUUUGUCAGUGAUAUUAGGCUAUAUGUUAGCUACGACUCGAGGUUCAGAAUGGCUGAAAAUCUACAGUAUUUACAAUAACUUCUCUAAACAUUCUCUGUGUGUUGCGACUUUCUUUGGCCAACCUAAUGUUCGCUUGCCAUGAGGCGAGAAGGACCGAAUGUUGCGUGGGUGAUUCCAACAGCGCAUCGGGCGUAGUGAUGUAUUGGCAGAGUGGUAUACGUAGGCUGUCUCAUAUAAAAUUGAUUCACUUGGAGUUUGGGCUAGGAAAAACGUGGUAAGGUUGCCGACGGGUGCUCUACAAUUUCGCAAUCCAUAGAGAAUACAUCUCGUUCUUUCUCCUUUUCCCCUUUAUGACAUUUUGACUCUGAAUAGGUAGGCCGCAUUCCAAUUAUGCAUGUGUUGAAUUUAUUUUGACCAUUGUAACCUUCUCCUACCGAUAAUAUCUUUACCCAUAUUAAAAUGCACAGCUUUUGGCGUAGAUAACAUUUAUUUGUUGUAGUUUAAAAUUCAUUUUUUCUAAGAUACACAUUUCUAAUGGUUUUUAAUAAUAUUUAUUUUCAGUCUCAAUGGAUCUGAGAAUAUUGUGCGUUAAAAGUGACCAAAAGAGAGUGAUUCAACGAGUGUCUCAAGAAAUGUUUGACAUGAAAGAAAGAUGGUGUUCAGAAGGUCCAUUCAACCAUGGACUGGGCCGGUGCUUAUUUGACUUGGAAAGCACUCUCCCCCGCAUCCAGUGGUCACGGACCGUUGCAUCAGGGAUCCUAGUGUUGUUUUUGACCGUACGUGUGCCACAUCACAGAGCUGCAGUGAGAUGAUCAGGAGCCGUAUGUAUAAAGUGUCUCGCAGCAUGAGUGCUGAUUCAGGAUCAGUUUAGCCUUUUAGAUCCCAAUGACAGAUUGCACGGACGGGGGUGGAUGAUCCUAGAUCAACGCUACUACUCUGGGAUGGUAGUGUUGUUAGUGAGAUAAACACACACUGUACCAGCUCUACUUACAAUCCCUUCAAUCCACCAUCAAACAACAGGGAGAACAACCCAGUCACGGCGUUCCACCUUAAGACAUGAGCGGUGAGAACAGAUUGGCUGUGCUACACAGUAUGGGUUGAUGUACACUGACAAAUCAACUAAAACAAGAGAUGCAUGAUUUUCUUAACAACUAAAACUCUUGGACCAAGUCCAGUUCUUUUGGCUCAUAGGAACGAAACAAAAAAUAUAACCAAGUUAAAUUAAGGCAAUGCUUUUAAAAAAAAAAAAAAUCGAAUAAUAAUACAUGGGACUUAUAUAACUCUUUUCAAUGACCCAAAGUCGCUUUACAAUAGUAGAAAAAACCCCAGAUUAAAACAAUCCCAGAGUAACAGCCAGAAAAUCUCUGAUCCAAAUGUUUGUAAACAAC